CUUUUCUUGUUAGUUUUUGAAGUAUGGCCUGCCCACUGACUUUGGUUGAAGGGCCGCGGUAUUUUGACCGUGCAAAGGUAGCAUAAUCAUUAGUUCUUUAAUUGUGAUCUGGUAUGAAUGGCUUGACGAGACACGAGCUGUCUUAGGGGUAUCUGUUGUUGAAUUUAGUUUUUGAGUUAAAAUUCUUAAAUGUUUUUAUGGGACGAGAAGACCCUAUAGAGUUUGACAUAUUGCUUUGCUUAUAUUUUUUUGUUUGUUUUAGGGUUUGGUUGGAGUUGUAUGUUUUGUUGGGGCGAUGAGAGGUAUUUCUUAACUCCUCUUUGCUUUGUAUAUAUUUAUUUAUAUUUGUUUGAUCCAUUUAUUUUGAUUAUAAGAUUAAAUUACC
RNAcentral lists this ribosomal RNA (385 nucleotides) under Syntermes grandis. Its description in RNAcentral is "partial 16S ribosomal RNA". The record is from RNAcentral. Lineage: Eukaryota; Metazoa; Arthropoda; Insecta; Blattodea; Termitidae.